Molecule: long non-coding RNA, 1987 nt
Organism: Anas platyrhynchos (mallard)
Lineage: Eukaryota; Metazoa; Chordata; Aves; Anseriformes; Anatidae
Source: RefSeq, a predicted model, not a curated record
CUACAGCAAUAUAUGCCAAUGGUCACGAGAUAUUAGUAUGCUUACCCAAAAGACAACACCGAGAAGAAUACAGCAUUGCAUCAAAAACCCUUAUGGAGGAGGGAAUAAAGUGCUGAGAUAAAUUGUGUUGGGUCUACAGAAAAGUGAGGAAGUGACGCCUGAAACCUCAGAGUUAGCAGGGUAUCACUGGAAUCAAAGCGGCUCUGACUGCCAAGGAUGUCAUCUGCCCAGUAAUGAAUGGGAAUGGUCAGUUUGAAAUGGCAUGAAGCACAGACUAAGAGCUGAAAUGUCACAACUGACAACUGCUCCUGCUUGGUGCUUUUUCCACUGGGCACGCCAGAAGGAGUCCUCACUCCUGCAUACAGCUUGUAGCAAUACACUGGCUCUUCAGAACUGAUGGUUUGAGCUGCUGCUACACACAGCUCAGGGCAAAAUCCAGAGCAGCAUCUUUGCUAGCCUGCUGCUGCCUGUUCAAGCUGACAAGGAGCUGCUUAUGAGUGGUGCCUCUGCAUCAGGUACUUGCCUGACUCCCACCGCACAUGAGAGAUAAAUGACAUUUGUUCUUAUGAUAAGUGGCAAGACAGAAAUCCAGGCUCCCAUCCUUCAGGUAUCAAUCACUAUGUUUGCUUGUUUCUUUCUUUGUUUGUUUUAAUUGAAAGCUUUGUUUAAAAAAAAAAAAAAAAAAAAAAAAAAGCUCAGAAAUUGUUUAUUCAGCUGUGAAAGUUUGUCAACCUACAAUGACUGUUGUUUUUUUUUCUUUUUAUUUUUUUCCUACCAAUAACAAAAAGCAAAAAAAAAAAAAAAAAAAAAAAAAAGCAAGAGUUGUGUUCUGUUGUGUUGCCUAAGGAUGAAUCUCAUUGCAUUUGUCUUAAUAUAUAAUAUAGAUAGAUAUACUGGAUGUUAAGAAUGUAUCUAUACCUGGUAUGGACAGUCUUUUUCACUGCUAGAAGUGUUGCUGCCAUUGUAGCCAAAGACAAACUUCUUAGUAGUUCACAACCUGUUGAGAGUGAUUUAUUCUUUGCAUUGUCUGGCCUGCUAUAUAGUAGAGGCAGCAUGCAUCUCCAGUAAGAAAAAUCAAGGUCGAAAGCAUACUACCCAAACUUGGUGUGUGUUGAGAUUGUGUGUUUGUAUCCCCAUGUCCUCUUCUACAGACACAGUUUAUAUCAUUUCCAGGCAAAAGAAGCUCUAAUGAUAAAUUGCAGUACUCUUAUUCUAUUGUUUGGCGUAGUUCUCUACCCAGGACUGUUAAAUUAUGAAGUAACAUUAGUGCAGACCAAGAUUUAUAUCUCAACCACUAGCUAAAAUCUGUGUUUUUGAUUGCAUAGACCAGAGAACCUGCUUAGAACAGAAAAGAGACUCCUGAAAAGUUCUGGUUACCAUAAAUCAGAUCAUCAAACCUUUCUCCCGGCUUGGAUGCAGGGUAGUACCUUUUAUCUCAAUUGAAAUUAUCAUAAUUUGAUCCUUGGCUUAAUAAAAGUGUCAGUUCGGAUCAACUAAAUCAAAGUACAAGAUCUCAACGUGCCCCAGUGCUUAAGGACCAGUAUUUUUUUAUUUGACUUUGCUAUUCACUGCAGAUAAAUUGUUGGCAUUUACUCUUGGACUGAGGUUUUCUCAUGGAGAAUAAAAGCAUUUAAGGUGCUUCAGGCAUGGUUCAAACGUAACCCUUCCCCAAAAGGAGAUGCAGGUUGACCUUCUAACUUCAGAUACCAUUGGGAGCAAUGCUUUCUAACCAGAAGUUCUGCAACAAAUCCUUAUUCCAAGAAUAUUUAAAAUGAUGAGAAAAUUAUAUCAAAGUAGACAUCCAGGACAAAUCCAUAAAUCCUAUUUAAUGUCAAAAUAGAAAAUAAAAUUAAAGUUUCUCAAAGUGUUUGCACCACAGACUCUUUCCUUGAAAAUGAAAUAUGUUAAAUGCUGGUUUUGUAUUUUAUAUAUUUUUAAAAAUUGAAUAUAAUAGGGAAAAUUGCAAAAUAAAUUUUAGUUAAAUGAA